Long non-coding RNA from Nicotiana tabacum (common tobacco), 656 nucleotides. RefSeq lists it as uncharacterized. The record is from RefSeq and is a predicted model, not a curated record. Lineage: Eukaryota; Viridiplantae; Streptophyta; Magnoliopsida; Solanales; Solanaceae.
AGGUGUUGCCGAGAAAGUGACUUUAAAUUUUAGGUUUAAUGAUUUAGAUUUUAGAAAGGGAGGCCAGCCGGACAACUCACAGAAAAAUAAGUUAAUAAUGAAUAUAGAAAAAGCUAAAUUAAUCAAUCAUAGCCUAACAUAGUAGCUAGUUCAUUACAAGAGGGUCUAUAAAUUAUGGCAUUAAUGCUCAUAUUAAAACUUCAUAGAGCGUGAAAUACUAUUUUCAACAUGGCACGAUUAAAAUUUAGUUUCGUUAUCAGCAUUCUUCUCAUGGCAAUCACAAUCAAUGUGUCGCAGUUUUUCAUUAGGCAAGUAUUGGCUGCAGAAGUUGAUCUUGAGCUCUCGGGACUCAAGCGGAGACUACUACCACAACUUAAGAAUUGGUUUACUUGUGAUAGAAUUUGUGGGUCCGAUAGUGAUUGUAGUGAUUGUUGGUUUUGCUGCCGCUGUAUUCAUGCUGAAUCAUUUCCUACUAGAGUUUGUAGAGGGCCAUUUGGAUAGAAGAUCAAGACCAAUUCUGUUAUAAAUCUUUGAAAGCAUUUGUGUAAUUUCUAUGUGAUUUCAGUAUCUUGUUUUGUUGAUUUUGUUCUAUUAUGUCUUUCAUACUUUGUAUGAAUAACGAAGAAAAUCAAGAGAAUGUCGUGUGUUUACUACUA